AUACUUUACCUGGCAGGGGAGAUACCAUGAUCACAAAGAUGGUUUUCCCAGGGCGAGGCUUAUCCCGAUGUGCUGACCCCUGUGAUUUCCCCAAAUGCGGGGAAACUCAACUGCAUAAUUUGUGGGAGUGGGGGACUGUGUUUGCGCUCUCCCCUG
Molecule: small nuclear RNA, 156 nt
Organism: Peromyscus eremicus (cactus mouse)
Lineage: Eukaryota; Metazoa; Chordata; Mammalia; Rodentia; Cricetidae
Product: U1 spliceosomal RNA
Exons: 1
Source: RefSeq, a predicted model, not a curated record